RNAcentral lists this ribosomal RNA (687 nucleotides) under Reticulitermes sp. 2 SD-2015. Its description in RNAcentral is "partial 16S ribosomal RNA". The stretch from base 347 to 509 matches the Rfam family "Archaeal large subunit ribosomal RNA", at positions 1883 to 2090 of the family's 2987-position model. Lineage: Eukaryota; Metazoa; Arthropoda; Insecta; Blattodea; Rhinotermitidae. The record is from RNAcentral.
UUAGGGGUUUCUGGUUUUUCAAGAAAUGAAUUUAAUUCAUGCGUCUUAUUUAGAGUUUUAUUAUCUUUUUAUUUUUUUUUAUUUGGCGUUAAGAUUGGGAGGGAUUAGCUUCUUAUUUUAUUUUUAUAAUUUCUAUGUUUAUUUAGUCUUGUGGAUUUUAUGGUGAUUUUCAAUUUGAUUAUGUUAAAAUUUUAUCUAUUUUUUUCUUUAUUUUAUUUUAUUUAAUUAUUUAUUGAAAUGUAUUCUUUAUCUUUAAUUUUGUUUAGUAAUUAUUGUGGAAUUAGUAAAUUUGUUGUUAGGUUGUUUUCGUUUAGUGUUAAUUUUUUUUAAGGAACUAGGCAAAUUUCAUGUCCGCCUGUUUAACAAAAACAUCUUUUCUCGUUAGUUUUUGAAGUAUGGCCUGCCCGCUGACUUUAGUGUUGAAGGGCCGCGGUAUUUUGACCGUGCAAAGGUAGCAUAGUCAUUAGUUCUUUAAUUGUGAUCUGGUAUGAAUGGCUUGACGAGGCAUGGGCUGUCUUAAUUUUGAAUUGUUUAUUGAAUUUGGUCUUUGAGUUAAAAUUCUUAGAUGUUUUUAUGGGACGAGAAGACCCUAUAGAGUUUGACAUUUGUAUGGUCUCUUUCUGUUUGUGAGGGUUCACUGGGCCGUUUAAUAUGUUUUGUUGGGGUGAUGGGAGGGAUAUAGUUUAA